GACGAACGCUGGCGGCGUGCUUAACACAUGCAAGUCGAACGGAAAGGCCCUGCUUUUGUGGGGUGCUCGAGUGGCGAACGGGUGAGUAACAAGUGAGUAACCUGCCCUUGACUUUGGGAUAACUUCAGGAAACUGGGGCAAAUACCGGAAAGGAGCUCCUGCUGCAUGGUGGGGGUUGGAAAGUUUCGGCGGUUGGGGAUGGACUGGCGGCUUAUCAGCUUGUUGGUGGGGUAGUGGCUUACCAAGGCUUUGACGGGUAGCCGGCCUGAGAGGGUGACCGGCCACAUUGGGACUGAGAUACGGCCCAGACUCCUACGGGAGGCAGCAGUGGGGAAUAUUGCACAAUGGGCGGAAGCCUGAUGCAGCAACGCCGCGUGCGGGAUGACGGCCUUCGGGUUGUAAACCGCUUUCGCCUGUGACGAAGUGUGAGUGACGGUAAUGGGUAAAGAAGCACCGGCUAACUACGUG
This 468-nucleotide ribosomal RNA is filed under the name uncultured bacterium. RNAcentral's name for it is "partial 16S ribosomal RNA". It matches the Rfam family "Bacterial small subunit ribosomal RNA", at positions 28 to 507 of the family's 1533-position model. The record is from RNAcentral.